RNAcentral lists this ribosomal RNA (348 nucleotides) under Shigella boydii. Its description in RNAcentral is "bacterial SSU rRNA". It matches the Rfam family "Bacterial small subunit ribosomal RNA", at positions 1 to 345 of the family's 1533-position model. The record is from RNAcentral. Lineage: Bacteria; Pseudomonadati; Pseudomonadota; Gammaproteobacteria; Enterobacterales; Enterobacteriaceae.
AAAUUGAAGAGUUUGAUCAUGGCUCAGAUUGAACGCUGGCGGCAGGCCUAACACAUGCAAGUCGAACGGUAACAGGAAUCAGCUUGCUGAUUCGCUGACGAGUGGCGGACGGGUGAGUAAUGUCUGGGAAACUGCCUGAUGGAGGGGGAUAACUACUGGAAACGGUAGCUAAUACCGCAUAAUGUCGCAAGACCAAAGAGGGGGACCUUCGGGCCUCUUGCCAUCGGAUGUGCCCAGAUGGGAUUAGCUUGUUGGUGGGGUAACGGCUCACCAAGGCGACGAUCCCUAGCUGGUCUGAGAGGAUGACCAGCCACACUGGAACUGAGACACGGUCCAGACUCCUACGGG